GCGGCCGUGGUGAAGCGGUUAACACACCUGGCUGUGAACCAGGCAUUCGGGGGUUCAAGUCCCCUCGGUCGCCCCA
RNAcentral lists this transfer RNA (76 nucleotides) under Tenericutes bacterium ADurb.Bin024. RNAcentral describes it as "tRNA-His". It matches the Rfam family "tRNA". Rfam says of the family: Transfer RNA (tRNA) molecules are approximately 80 nucleotides in length. Their secondary structure includes four short double-helical elements and three loops (D, anti-codon, and T loops). The record is from RNAcentral. Lineage: Bacteria; Bacillati; Mycoplasmatota. RNAcentral also lists the same sequence under 3 other names.